Molecule: transfer RNA, 81 nt
Filed under: Blumeria graminis f. sp. tritici
Lineage: Eukaryota; Fungi; Ascomycota; Leotiomycetes; Helotiales; Erysiphaceae
Also listed under: 1 other name
Rfam family: tRNA
About the family: Transfer RNA (tRNA) molecules are approximately 80 nucleotides in length. Their secondary structure includes four short double-helical elements and three loops (D, anti-codon, and T loops).
Source: Rfam by way of RNAcentral
GCCCGGGUAGCUCAAUCGGUAGAGCGUGUGGCUCUUAGUACUCUAACCUCAAGGUCGCGGGUUCAAGCCCCGCCUCUGGCU